This 21-nucleotide small nuclear RNA is filed under the name Arabidopsis thaliana (thale cress). Its description in RNAcentral is "snRNA_19030". The record is from RNAcentral. Lineage: Eukaryota; Viridiplantae; Streptophyta; Magnoliopsida; Brassicales; Brassicaceae.
GGGGGUCCCAGUUCCGAACCC